GCCGGAAGUGCGUCCGUCCGGGCGAGGAAGGAAAUAGGGCGCGGGGCGCCGGCCGUGGAAGAACUCCAUUCAGAGGCAGUCGUGAUAAACCAGAGCAUCAGCCCUUUCCGCUGGGAUACCAAUAAGUCUUGAACUUCAAAACUGCUGACCUAAAAAGGAUACUUGAGAAGGAGCAAGUCUUUCCUUUUUUCUUUUAAAGAAAGCAACACCAGAAGCAGUCGAACUUCCUUGUUCACUUAGGUGCAUGCAAAAAAGAAAACAGGUUUACUCUGCUUCAGGACCCUCUCUUACCCCUCAUGGCGUGAGCCUGAAGCCUGUCCACUGAGGAGCGUUCUAAGAACUUCCAGAUCAUUCCAUGGAACUACAGCAGAAAGGACCCGAGGUGAGAAGAGCUAAGACCUGACCUUCGGGCACAUGCUGAGAAACUCGCCCACAAGUGUUUGGAGGAACCCAAAGACAAACAGCAGCCAAUGUGCUGGACGUCGGCCACAAGGCAGGUGUUUUGGAGGGAACAGGCUGUGGUUGGGAACAGGGAGCAGGGCGGGUGGGAGGGAAAGAAACUUUCUCAAGAAGAGGUUCCGGGGAAGCAGGGAGACUUGCGAGGCUGUCGCAAGGGCAGAAGGACGUUUGUGGAGGGUGGGAGGACUCAGCUGCCGCCUGAGAGGUACCCGGAGCAGAGCAAAUCCACAGCCAAUGAGGGGGCUUUUAUAUUGGGGUCCCCUGCCUGACGACCCCAGGAGGGAAGCGUCCCCGGCCCUUUCUUCAUCGUGAAGCGAACCCUGCGAGGUUUGCAAGGUGAGUUUAGAACAGUGUCCGUGACGUGGGCCCCUAUAGAUGUUUGCUGAUGGGCUUCAUUUAGCUCACUCCAGGAGAAGGGGCACCCACAGUUUGGGGGCCCCUGUCCUGCCCAGCACAAGCUGUGAAGAGGGUGCUUUUACACCCAUUGUCCUUAGUGACUCAGGCAAAGGAGCCAAGAGGUGACAUUGAAAACUGGGCUGGCAUUUGCAGCUACGUGGUGGGACCUGGAGAUUCUCAUACUAAGUGCAGUGAGUGAGAGGAAGUCAAAUGCUGUGUGGUAUCACUUCUGUGUGGAAUCUAAAAUGUGACACACAUAAACCACCUACCGACAAAACAGAGAGACGCGUGGACACAGAGAACAGACUUGUGGUUGCCAAGGGCGGGGGCAGUGGGACGGGCCGGGAGUCGGGGAUUAGCAGAUGCAAUCUCUGACCUGUAAUGGGUAAACAGCAAGGUCCUACUAUACGAACAGGGCAUCACAUUCAGUCUCCUGGGAAAGAGCGUAAUGGAAAAGGAGCGUAAGUGGACUGGGACACUUUCAACCCUGCCAAAGGGCCUGGAGACAGAAGGCGAGGCGCCUCUUAGAAGGAGAAAUGGCCAGUGGUUCCAUGGAAGGGAGGAGAGGCUUUAGAAUAAAAUGCACGUCCCGCCCCCUUGUCCCCCCCACCCCACCCCCCCAAUAACCUGCCAGUGGGAUUCCCUGGUCAGGUCCUCACUGAAGCAUUUCUAGGUCACUGUCUCGGGCACCAGGGCAGCAGGUGAGAGGCAUGACUGUGACCUUAUUGCAGCCCCUGCCCGCAGCCCUCGCCGCCUCCCUGCCAUCUCUGAGCCAGGCAGCCGCUCACAGGGUCCAGGGAUGCUGCGGCAGCUAGGGUCCUCUCCCGCUUCUCUCUUGUUUCCUUCAGACUUUAGCCGCCCUUGGGGUGAUUUUCUUUCUUUGUCUUCUUGGUUCAUUUGUUUUUCCUUCCUUCACCCCACUGGACAGUGAGCUCUGUUGGGGGGGGACUCUGUCCUCGGUCUGGCUUCAUCACCUCGGUGACUAAACAAUGCCCGGGUAAGAAAUAUUUGCUGAAUUUAAGGAAUGAGUGAGUGAAGACGCAAGAAGAAAUGAGUACGUGGAGUUUAUUAGUGUAACACACGAUGAAAGAACUCACCAUUUCCUUGUUUUCACCUGUUUUGCCCCAUGCCCGCCUAGGCCUGUGGUUUCCUUUUUCUUCUCUCUCUUUUUUUUUUUUUCCCUUCAGUCCUGUGGUUUCUACUCUAAUCCUACUGCUUAGUCACUACCUGGUUGUGAUUUACCUGCAUCAGCUGCCAAGAGAGUGUGAGAUGGGAGGGGGAGACCCCGGACGAGGAGGCCCGCCCCGGGUUCUGGUCCCUCUGGCCUCAUCUCUUGUCUCUUUACGACAGGUUCCAAUCCCCUUGAAAACGGCCCCCUCCGCCCAGACUCCUGAGUGCCCCUGGGCCUUUGCAUCUGCUCCUCCUUCUGCUUUCCUCCCGCCCCUGCUUGGCCCGCCCCUCGGAGCUGAGCAGCUCCACGUGGGCGCCUCGGCCAUCCUGUGUAUCUCCGACCUCACACUUAGCCUGUCCCUGUGCUGUUUGAGUGUCUGCUUUUAUUGACUCACACAUCGGUGAAUAUUUCCUGAGCAUCCGUGAUGUCUUAGGCACUGCUCUAGGGACUGGGGAUAUAACAGGGAACAGAAUAAGCAAGGUCUCUGUGCACUGGGGCUGACAGUUGAGUGGAAAGAGACAAGCAGCUCACAAAUAAGGAACACAGUUAUAUGUCGCAUCUAACAAGUGCAGUGAAGAAACAAAACAGGGAAGGCAGAUGGAGACAGGGGUUGGAAGGCUGUUUUAGAUGAAGCGGUUGGGAAAGGCAGCUGGCAAGGGAAUGUUGCAUCAUCGGCUCAAAGGAAUGGGGGGGCAAGCGAUGAAGGAUGGGGUGGGGGGCCCAUGGUGGUCAAGCGGUGGAAAAGCCAGAGCAAAGGCCCUGAGGCAGGAAGCGCUUGUUCUGUUCGGGACACUGGAGAAGCAGGGUGGUGUGGCUAGAGCACGUCCCCCUCCAGUCCAAGCUGUGGACUCCAUGGGGUUAGACACCAUGUCCCCCUGGCUCAAGGGCGUGUCCCUAAUAUCUGGCUUGAGGCUGGCUCAUGCCCUAAAGAUGGAGAGCCAAUUCACACCUUGGAACAGCUUCCCUCUGUCUAGUUUCACCAAAAGGCCUUGAGUGAGACAGAGCGAGAAAGACAUGGGACGUUGGACAAGGGCAGGUCCGGGCACUAGAAGAACUGAGCAGUAAACAGCCAGGGGCUGCGGGUCCUGCUCCAUGCUCCAAGGCUCAAAGCUCAGGAUGGCAGAGGGCUCUGGGAAGGGCUUCUGAUCAUCACCUUGUGUUAUUAAAGCCAUACUUUUUUUUUUUUGGUCCUUUUAUGGGGGGUCGGGGGACUGCACCCAUGGCGUAUGGAAGUUCCCAGGCCAGGGGUCCAAUCAGAGCUAUAGGUGCCGACCUACACCACAGCCACAGCAACGCCAGAUCUGAGCCGCAGCUGGGACCUACACCACUGUUCACAGCAACGCCAGAUCCUUAACCCACUGACCAAGGCCAGGGAUCAAACCUGCAUCCUCACGGGUACCAGUCAGAUUCGUAACCCGCUGAGCUACAACGGGGACUCCCAAGCUGUGCUCUCUUCAGUGACCAGUGACUCCACAGCAGAUACACCCGGUAUCCUCGGUCACCAGCAGCGCCUGGGACUGCACGCGACGCAGGCUUGCGUGGCACAAUUACGGAGACUGGAUGAGAUGUUCUCUCCAUUCUGCAGGUGAACAGGCUGACCUUGAGAGUGGUCACGUAAGUGGCCCAAGGUCACACAGCUCACGGCAGAGACAAGCCGUGCACCCAGGCUGUCGGGCUCUGCCGCCUUGGCCCCGGCCACUGUUCCAUAAAUGCCGCCUCCUCCAGGCCCAUCACGGCGGCGAUGGACCGCAGGCCCAGGCUGAGACUCAGAUGUGAGUUCGCUGUGACCCACAGCCGCGUAUUUUCACAUCAAAGAGCAACGCCCCCAUGGUUUGCGUCUGGAUUGGGAUCAACCCAGAAAUGAGUGUAAAGACCAACCACAGUCUUUGAUGAGGACUCCAUGUCCAGGGAGGCUCCAAAGUGACUGAGGGCUGUAGGU
RNAcentral lists this long non-coding RNA (3965 nucleotides) under Sus scrofa (pig). Its description in RNAcentral is "lncRNA (ENSSSCG00060071887.1)". Lineage: Eukaryota; Metazoa; Chordata; Mammalia; Artiodactyla; Suidae. The record is from RNAcentral.